AACAAGGCGUACCUGCGGACCUGCGGAGGGAUCAUUACCGAGUGAGGACCCUCCGGGUCCAACCUCCCACCCGUGUUUAACGAACCUUGUUGCUUCGGCGGGCCCGCCUCACGGCCGCCGGGGGGCACUCCGCCCCCGGGCCCGCGCCCGCCGAAGACACCUGUGAACGCUGUCUGAAGUUGCAGUCUGAGACACUAGCUCAAUCAGUUAAAACUUUCAGCAAUGGAUCUCAGAUCGGAA
Molecule: unclassified non-coding RNA, 240 nt
Filed under: soil metagenome
Description: partial contains 5.8S ribosomal RNA, internal transcribed spacer 2, and large subunit ribosomal RNA
Source: RNAcentral